Molecule: ribosomal RNA, 215 nt
Filed under: Leptofoenus sp. D0393
Lineage: Eukaryota; Metazoa; Arthropoda; Insecta; Hymenoptera; Pelecinellidae
Description: partial 28S ribosomal RNA
Rfam family: Eukaryotic large subunit ribosomal RNA
Source: RNAcentral
UUUCCCUCAGGAUAGCUGGCACUCGCUUGAGCGAGUCUCAUCUGGUAAAGCGAAUGAUUAGAGGCCUUGGGGCCGAAACGACCUCAACCUAUUCUCAAACUUUAAAUGGGUGAGAUCUCUGGCUUGCUUGAACAUGAAGCCACGAGACGAAUUUCGAAUAUUGGAUCAGAGUGCCAAGUGGGCCAAUUUUGGUAAGCAGAACUGGCGCUGUGGGA